GAUGAACGCUAGCGGCAGGCUUAACACAUGCAAGUCGAGGGGCAGCGCGAGGUAGCAAUACUUUGGCGGCGACCGGCGCACGGGUGCGUAACGCGUAUGCAACCUACCCACUACAGGGGGAUAACGGAGGGAAACUUCCACUAAUAUCCCAUGGUGUUGUUUUUUCGCAUGGAGAAACAACUAAAGCUUCGGUGGUAGUGGAUGGACAUGCGUGACAUUAGGUAGUUGGCGGGGCAACGGCCCACCAAGCCGACGAUGUCUAGGGGAGCUGAGAGGCUUAUCCCCCACACUGGUACUGAGACACGGACCAGACUCC
Molecule: ribosomal RNA, 316 nt
Filed under: uncultured Bacteroidales bacterium
Lineage: Bacteria; Pseudomonadati; Bacteroidota; Bacteroidia; Bacteroidales
Description: bacterial SSU rRNA
Rfam family: Bacterial small subunit ribosomal RNA
Source: RNAcentral